CCUACGGGAGGCUGCAGUAGGGAAUCUUCCGCAAUGGGCGAAAGCCUGACGGAGCAACGCCGCGUGAGUGAAGAAGGAUUUCGGUUCGUAAAGCUCUGUUGUUAGGGAAGAAUGAUUGUGUAGUAACUAUACACAGUAGAGACGGUACCUAACCAGAAAGCCACGGCUAACUACGUGCCAGCAGCCGCGGUAAUACGUAGGUGGCAAGCGUUGUCCGGAAUUAUUGGGCGUAAAGCGCGCGCAGGUGGUUUAAUAAGUCUGAUGUGAAAGCCCACGGCUCAACCGUGGAGGGUCAUUGGAAACUGUUAAACUUGAGUGCAGGAGAGAAAAGUGGAAUUCCUAGUGUAGCGGUGAAAUGCGUAGAGAUUAGGAGGAACACCAGUGGCGAAGGCGGCUUUUUGGCCUGUAACUGACACUGAGGCGCGAAAGCGUGGGGAGCAAACAGGAUUAGAUACCCCAGUAGUC
Molecule: ribosomal RNA, 465 nt
Filed under: uncultured Caryophanales bacterium
Lineage: Bacteria; Bacillati; Bacillota; Bacilli; Caryophanales
Description: bacterial SSU rRNA
Rfam family: Bacterial small subunit ribosomal RNA
Source: RNAcentral